GAAAAGGCAGGGCCUCGUUGCCUAUUUUGUGAAUGAAGCUCUCGUAAACUUCAGGGAAGUCAUUUGCAUUGUUAUUGGGUGAACCUCUGUUGGUUUUUAUGGCCAAGGUUCAGUAAAUGAUGGCAUGGUU
Small nucleolar RNA from Tripterygium wilfordii, 130 nucleotides. RefSeq annotates it as small nucleolar RNA snoR74. The transcript has a single exon. The record is from RefSeq and is a predicted model, not a curated record. Lineage: Eukaryota; Viridiplantae; Streptophyta; Magnoliopsida; Celastrales; Celastraceae.